GCAGGUGUGGCGGAAUGGCAGACGCACUAGACUUAGGAUCUAGCGCUUUACGGUGUAAGGGUUCAAGUCCCUUCACCUGCACCA
This 84-nucleotide transfer RNA is filed under the name Clostridium sp. Its description in RNAcentral is "tRNA-Leu". It matches the Rfam family "tRNA". Rfam says of the family: Transfer RNA (tRNA) molecules are approximately 80 nucleotides in length. Their secondary structure includes four short double-helical elements and three loops (D, anti-codon, and T loops). Lineage: Bacteria; Bacillati; Bacillota; Clostridia; Eubacteriales; Clostridiaceae. The record is from RNAcentral. RNAcentral also lists the same sequence under 3 other names.